This 496-nucleotide ribosomal RNA is filed under the name uncultured bacterium. RNAcentral's name for it is "partial 16S ribosomal RNA". It matches the Rfam family "Bacterial small subunit ribosomal RNA", at positions 28 to 506 of the family's 1533-position model. The record is from RNAcentral.
GAUGAACGCUGGCGGCGUGCCUAAUACAUGCAAGUCGAGCGAACAGACGAGGAGCUUGCUCCUCUGACGUUAGCGGCGGACGGGUGAGUAACACGUGGAUAACCUACCUAUAAGACUGGGAUAACUUCGGGAAACCGGAGCUAAUACCGGAUAAUAUAUUGAACCGCAUGGUUCAAUAGUGAAAGACGGUUUUGCUGUCACUUAUAGAUGGAUCCGCGCCGCAUUAGCUAGUUGGUAAGGUAACGGCUUACCAAGGCAACGAUGCGUAGCCGACCUGAGAGGGUGAUCGGCCACUCUGGAACUGAGACACGGUCCAGACUCCUACGGGAGGCAGCAGUAGGGAAUCUUCCGCAAUGGGCGAAAGCCUGACGGAGCAACGCCGCGUGAGUGAUGAAGGUCUUCGGAUCGUAAAACUCUGUUAUUAGGGAAGAACAAAUGUGUAAGUAACUAUGCACGUCUUGACGGUACCUAAUCAGAAAGCCACGGCUAACUACGU